RNAcentral lists this transfer RNA (84 nucleotides) under Callorhinchus milii (elephant shark). RNAcentral describes it as "tRNA-Leu (CAA) (tRNA-Leu-CAA-5-1)". It matches the Rfam family "tRNA". From Rfam's summary of the family: Transfer RNA (tRNA) molecules are approximately 80 nucleotides in length. Their secondary structure includes four short double-helical elements and three loops (D, anti-codon, and T loops). Further hydrogen bonds mediate the characteristic L-shaped molecular structure. tRNAs have two regions of fundamental functional importance: the anti-codon, which is responsible for specific mRNA codon recognition, and the 3' end, to which the tRNAs corresponding amino acid is attached (by aminoacyl-tRNA synthetases). tRNAs cope with the degeneracy of the genetic code in two manners: having more than one tRNA (with a specific anti-codon) for a particular amino acid; and 'wobble' base-pairing, i.e. permitting non-standard base-pairing at the 3rd anti-codon position. The record is from RNAcentral. Lineage: Eukaryota; Metazoa; Chordata; Chondrichthyes; Chimaeriformes; Callorhinchidae.
GUCAGGAUGGCCGAGUGGUCUAAGGCGCCAGACUCAAGUUCUGAUCCCUUUCUAGGGGCGUGGGUUCGAAUCCCACUUCUGACA